GACGAACGCUGGCGGCGUGCUUAACACAUGCAAGUCGAACGGAAAGGCCCUGCUUUUGUGGGGUUCUCGAGUGGCGAACGGGUGAGUGACACGUGAGUAACCUGCCCUUUACUUUCUGGUAACUUCAGGAAACUGGGGCGAAUACCGGAUAGGAUCUUCUGCUCCGUGUUGUGGGUUGGAAAAUUUCGGCGGUUGGAGAUGGAAUCGCGGGUUAUGAGCUUGUUGGUGGGGUAGUGGCUUACGAGGGCUUUGACGGGUAGGCGGCAUGAGAGGGUGACCGGCGACAUGGGGACUAAGAUACGGCCCAGAAUGCUACGGGAGGCAGCAGUGGGGAAUAUUGCAAAACGGGCGGAAGUCUGAUGCAGCAACGUUGCGUGCGGGAUGACGGGUUUCGGGUUGUAAACAUCUUUCGACUGUGACGAAGCGUGAGUGACGGUAAUGGGUAAAGAAGCAACGGCUAACUACGUG
Molecule: ribosomal RNA, 468 nt
Filed under: uncultured bacterium
Lineage: Bacteria
Description: partial 16S ribosomal RNA
Rfam family: Bacterial small subunit ribosomal RNA
Source: RNAcentral